AAUGGGUCAGCGACUUAUAUUCUGUAGCAAGGUUAACCGAAUAGGGGAGCCGAAGGGAAACCGAGUCUUAACUGGGCGUUAAGUUGCAGGGUAUAGACCCGAAACCCGGUGAUCUAGCCAUGGGCAGGUUGAAGGUUGGGUAACACUAACUGGAGGACCGAACCGACUAAUGUUGAAAAAUUAGCGGAUGACUUGUGGCUGGGGGUGAAAGGCCAAUCAAACCGGGAGAUAGCUGGUUCUCCCCGAAAGCUAUUUAGGUAGCGCCUCGUGAAUUCAUCUCCGGGGGUAGAGCACUGUUUCGGCAAGGGGGUCAUCCCGACUUACCAACCCGAUGCAAACUGCGAAUACCGGAGAAUGUUAUCACGGGAGACACACGGCGGGUGCUAACGUCCGUCGUGAAGAGGGAAACAACCCAGACCGCCAGCUAAGGUCCCAAAGUCAUGGUUAAGUGGGAAACGAUGUGGGAAGGCCCAGACAGCCAGGAUGUUGGCUUAGAAGCAGCCAUCAUUUAAAGAAAGCGUAAUAGCUCACUGGUCGAGUCGGCCUGCGC
Molecule: ribosomal RNA, 550 nt
Filed under: Escherichia coli
Lineage: Bacteria; Pseudomonadati; Pseudomonadota; Gammaproteobacteria; Enterobacterales; Enterobacteriaceae
Also listed under: 1 other name
Description: partial 23S ribosomal RNA
Rfam family: Bacterial large subunit ribosomal RNA
Source: RNAcentral